GACGAACGCUGGCGGCGUGCUUAACACAUGCAAGUCGAACGGAAAGGCCCUGCUUUUGUGGGGUGCUCGAGUGGCGAACGGGUGAGUAACACGUGAGUAACCUGCCCUUGACUUUGGGAUAACUUCAGGAAACUGGGGCUAAUACCGGAUAGGAGCUCCUGCUGCAUGGUGGGGGUUGGAAAGUUUCGGCGGUUGGGGAUGGACUCGCGGCUUAUCAGCUUGUUGGUGGGAUAGUGGCUUACCAAGGCUUUGACGGGUAGCCGGCCUGAGAGGGUGACCGGCCACGUUGGGACUGAGAUACGGCCCAGACUCCUACGGGAGGCAGCAGUGGGGAAUAUUGCACAAUGGGCGGAAGCCUGAUGCAGCAACGCCGCGUGCGGGAUGACGGCCUUCGGGUUGUAAACCGCUUUCGCCUGUGACGAAGCGUGAGUGACGGUAAUGGGUAAAGAAGCACCGGCUAACUACGUG
RNAcentral lists this ribosomal RNA (468 nucleotides) under uncultured bacterium. Its description in RNAcentral is "partial 16S ribosomal RNA". It matches the Rfam family "Bacterial small subunit ribosomal RNA", at positions 28 to 507 of the family's 1533-position model. The record is from RNAcentral.